UCUCUGUUAGUAUAUCGGUUAGUACACGCGCUUGUCAUUUGAAAUGAUCGCGCGAAAGCGGGGUUCGACUCCCCGACAGAGAG
This is a non-coding RNA of Trametes maxima, 83 nucleotides long. The record is from the annotation of a GenBank genome assembly. Lineage: Eukaryota; Fungi; Basidiomycota; Agaricomycetes; Polyporales; Polyporaceae.